GGGGUCGUUACGGAAUCGACUGACAUUGUUCGUGCUAAAAUCGCGUUUAGGGGUUGUGGCCCUAUAAUCCACUCAGACAGAAUAACUGCAAAAAAUUCAAACAAAACUUACGCUUUCGCUGCUUAAAAACCAGCUAGCGUUGCCAAAAUCUGCUGUGAUUACCGGUUGAUCUUGGUCUAAAACUUAGUAAUCUACGCUAAUUAACUUACGUCUGGAGUUGUUUAGAAGAAGAUUAUCAGACUAGUCAUAAAGGUGGCUUUGUUUACCGGCGGGCAAUAUGACGAAUUUUAAAUUGGUAGACUAUGAACGUAGACGUUUUAGUUCCGAAAUGUUAGGACAGGGGUUCAACUCCCCUCGGCUCCAUUG
Molecule: transfer-messenger RNA, 366 nt
Filed under: Weissella muntiaci
Lineage: Bacteria; Bacillati; Bacillota; Bacilli; Lactobacillales; Lactobacillaceae
Description: Standard tmRNA
Rfam family: transfer-messenger RNA
About the family: Bacterial tmRNA, also known as 10Sa RNA or SsrA, is named for its dual tRNA and mRNA-like properties. Its role is to liberate the mRNA from a stalled ribosome.
Source: RNAcentral